Molecule: unclassified non-coding RNA, 380 nt
Filed under: Hevea brasiliensis (rubber tree)
Lineage: Eukaryota; Viridiplantae; Streptophyta; Magnoliopsida; Malpighiales; Euphorbiaceae
Source: RNAcentral
AUUAAUUAUACCAUUAAGUAUAAAACUCCAGAAAAAUAUAUAACAAUCUAAUAUUUAAUGAAUUCAAAAAAGAGUUGGUAAAAAUUGCAAAGAGAAUGAGAUGUUAUGGAGCUAGAUCAAUGACAUUUCACCUCUUUCUCUCAGCUUUCAAAUGGUUUAGAUCAUUCACCGGUCACAGGAAAAUAUGUACAAUGGUGACAUUUUCCGUUCAUACGAGUGACAACUACAUGAUUUAUUGAAAUCAAAAGCAUCUAUAUUUCAAAACUAGAGAUCAUUACUAUCACUGAAUUUGAUAAAUCUUGACAGAUUAAGAUUACUGGCACUUGAAAGUGGAAAUCAACCAGCAUACCGCAAACUCGUCUUGACAGUUUUGCAAGCUC